AAAGAGUGUAGUUUUACAGUGCUCACAUCCAAAGUUUAACCGUUUAUCUUAUUUAAAUUUUUUAUAAUUAGUAUUUUUUUAUUUUUAGAUGAUAAAAUAUAAAUAAUACUUUAUAUAUCACUAUUUUUUUAAAUAAAAUUAUAAAUUUUUUAAAUAAAACGGAUGGUAAAAUAUUUGACACGGAAACUUGUAUCUGUACUCAAA
Molecule: microRNA precursor, 204 nt
Filed under: Oryza sativa Japonica Group (Japanese rice)
Lineage: Eukaryota; Viridiplantae; Streptophyta; Magnoliopsida; Poales; Poaceae
Description: MIR812 microRNA precursor family
Rfam family: MIR812 microRNA precursor family
Source: Rfam by way of RNAcentral